AAUACGUUCCCGGGCCUUGUACACACCGCCCGUCACAUCAUGGAAGUCGCCUGCUCCCAAAGAGUUUCCGUUUUAACGGGCUUCAAGGAAUGGGCGGUAACUGGGAUG
This 108-nucleotide ribosomal RNA is filed under the name uncultured bacterium. RNAcentral describes it as "partial 16S ribosomal RNA". It matches the Rfam family "Bacterial small subunit ribosomal RNA", at positions 1365 to 1482 of the family's 1533-position model. The record is from RNAcentral.